Molecule: long non-coding RNA, 7195 nt
Filed under: Malus domestica (apple)
Lineage: Eukaryota; Viridiplantae; Streptophyta; Magnoliopsida; Rosales; Rosaceae
Description: long non-coding RNA (MDOM_LNC018892)
Source: RNAcentral
AUUCUCUUUGUCUCUUCAAGGGCUACAACUUUCGUUUUUGAAUCACUUGAUUUCGUUUGAGAAAUGACAAAGUUAUGGCAAUUUGAAAAACUGCCCGGAAAACGGCCGCCGGAAAAACCAGUCCGGCGACCCAAGGAAGAAGAAGGUGCUACAGUAAAAAUAAAAAAUAAAAAUAAAAUUAUUUUAAAAAAUAUGUCGACGUUCGUGACGUCGAGUAGAUCACUGUGGUAUAUUCAUAUACCUAAAUUGAACACCGUAUGAGAAAGUUAUUGAGGAUUGUUGGUUAGGUGUUCAAAAUAACGUUUUAUAAUUUUCACAUUUAGGUGAAAAUGUGAAUUGACGAUCCGACCGUUGGAUCGUCACCAAACUUUGAUACGUUGCAAUACGUAAUAUUUGAGAGGAUUAUUGGAACUUACAGAUUGGGAAUCCGAUUUGCGGAUCUUCCGGAAUUGGAAUUGUAAGUCCAUAAUAUAAAAUGUUAACCGUCACUUAGUUUUGGAAAUUGACGGAGAUCCGACCGUUGGAUGGUAAUGAAAUUUUAGGUUGUUGUCCUAGAGGUAUAAUGUGGACCUCUGGAAGUUAUGGAUUUAAAAUCUGAGGGGUGGAUCUUCCGGAUCAAUCUACGUAGUGACGUAUUUUUAUAUAAGUUAUAUAUUCUCUAUCGAUAUGAAUUCUGAGGUUGGAAUUGAUUAUUGUUUUAGGCGCCGAUCGUCAUGACGCCUUGGCGUAUUGUGCUAGGGAGUUGUAGGGCGAACUCCAGGUGAGUGGGCAGUUUUUGUUUUCCGUAUAUAUAUAUAUAUACUUGACGUUUCCCAGGAAUUGAAUUGAAAUGAAAAUAUAUUUAAAAUGAAAUGCAUAUGAGUUAUGUGGAAAAACGGGAAGUGAAAUACCAUGCAUAGAAUUGAUAUGAAAAGUAUAUAGAAAUGUGAGUUGAAAUGCCAUGCAUGAAUUAAUAUAUGAUGCAUAUGUAUGAAUUGGUGCGGUGGACGCACAAGUAAGAAUUGAUUUAUGAUGCAUAUGUAUGAAAUGGUGCGGUGGACGCACAGGUGAGUAUUUUAAUUACUGUUAUGAUGAUGAUGAUAUAUAUUGAGCUCAAAUCCUGCACCAUGGUUUAGUGCUUAUAGUAUUCACCGCAUCGCACGCUCGCCUUGGAUCCAAGUAGAUGCUAGUCGUACAGUCCACGCGGAGUGGGUACGACAGGCCAGUCGCGAGAGUGUUAGUGAGAUUCCGACUGGUGGGUGACCUUAGAUUAUGUGCACAGAUGAUUUAUGAGAAGCACUAGAGCGUAACUUGUGUGCAGAAGGCCGGACAGGUCACAGAGGUGACUCCGGUAGAGUGAUAAUGAUAGAUUUUGAGCUUUAGGUUCAACCGUAUAGGGCUAUUAGAGGGCUUACGGUUGAUUACUUUCUUGCACCUGAUAUGAUUAUGUUGAUGCAUUCAUACCUUAUUACUGUUGAGAUGAUGUGGCAUGGCAUAAUUAAUAUGAGAAAUGUUGAGAUGACAUGGCAUGGCAUGAUUGAUAAAGAGAUAAUGUUGAGAUAGUAAAAAAUGAAGUUUUGAGAAUAUAUAUGUAUAUUUUAUAUUUUACAUUUCUGGGAAAGUAUACAGGUUUUACGGAGAGGGGUUACAACGUUUUGAGAAAUGUUUGGAUUUGGAAAAGAAUUGUUUUUACUGACCCACUCAAUUUUGGUUUUGCGCCCCUCCAGGUUCAGGAAUCACAAAGGUGUGGUGACUACGAGGAAUACAGCGGGGUUCUGACAGAUUGGACAAAAUUAGGACUCACCUUCGGGUGUAUCAACUUAUAAAUUGUAUAAUUAAAGCUUCCGUACUGUGCAAAUGGUUACGUCACUCUCACGUGACGGCCAGCAUGCCCUCCUUCGGGACGGGGUGUGUCAGUUGGUAUCAGAGCAUGGUUGCAAUCUUGGACAUUUUGAGAAGUUCUAGUGAAUUCUGUCAGAACUACACCGCCUCGUAGCAAGCCACUUAGUUAGAGGAAUUUAGUCUCCCUAAUAUAACGGUUUAGGGGAAACUAUUAUUAUGGUGAUUCAGUCUAUUAUAAAAAGGGACAUUUUAAGAUGGGUUAUGAGUUGAAUUUGAAUCACUUAAGAGAAAUGAUGAACCUGAGGGAGCGAAGUAACGGUUUAACCAUUUGGAAAAGAUGUUUCGGAUUAUGCAAGUCAAAGGAAUCUUCCUUCUGACAAAGGGUCGAGAUGACUACCUGGUUUGAGUUAUGAACGUGUAUCCUGAUGGAAGCAGGAGUAUUAAUUGUUGUCACCGGAGGAACAGCCGAUUUAAAAUUGUUUAAGGACUUGUUUAAUGAAAAGUUUAUCCCUCCGGCAUUUAUCGAUGGUAGUAAACAAGAGUUUACAAAUAUGAGACAAGGAAGGUGAUGAUCGAGGGAUAUUAUAAAAAGUUUUCAGACUUGCCUUGUUCCAUCCAGAUAUUGUUGUUAUUGGUGGAGGUGUUAUGUUGUUUUAAGCUGGGUGGCAAAAAGGGAAGUGGUAUUUUGGGUGACCACUAUCCAUUAUACUUCUUACCAGGAAUAUACGAGAUGCUGUUGAGUCUUGAGGACUCUGAGAACAUGAUCAACGAGAAUAAAGAAGAAUAAGAAAUGAAUGGGAAUUAAAAGAAGACGAUAAAGUUAAUGAUUCGUCAUAUCAAAGAGAUAGAAAGAUUCAGAGCUUCGAAAGAGUGAAGCUAGAGUUAAUUCUUCCAGCUGAGGUUUUAAUGUCGCUGGUCAGAGUAAAAGUGAUGGGUAUACUGGUAAUCCCAGAUAUUUGAGACAAGGUGUCUCGAGUAAAGGAAAUGUACUUUGUGCAGCAGGUACAAAAUUAACACUUUGGGAAGUGUGAAAUUAAUGAAUGUGUUUAUGUGAACAGAGGGGACACAGAAUUGUGAAUCGUCCCUAGAAUCAGUUGUACCCAACAGUUUUCUAUGACAUCAUAGUGUUGAUUCAGCAGAGUUAUGGAUUUAGUAGUUUGGUCGGAUUGACCGUUAGUACAGAGAGAUUUGAUGAGUUAUAUGUUCAGCCGUACAGACCAUGAGAAGUGGAUUCGAUUGACACAUGAGAAAUUGGUGAGUUAUAGGCUCGGCCGUACCGACCACGCGGAGUGGAUCCGGCCGACGUAUUAUUGAGAUAAGAGUUGAAUCAGCCGUAUUGGUCAUUCUAGUUGACUUCGGCUGAUAUAUUUCUUAUUAUGUAUGUUAUUACCUAGAGAGUAGUAAAUAAAUGUAGUUGAGACGAGUGUAUGUAUUUUGCAUUGAGUAACAAAAUAGUAAUGUUAUAUCUUUGAGAGUGGUUGCCUACUUAUCGAGACAACGAUGAUUUAUCAGUAUUGCGGGCUGCAGACCGUAAUAUUAAUAACUCAUUCGUGGAUUCGUUAAGCAAGCAACCCGGUAGAUUAUUUUAUGUUAGUAUUGUACUUAUUUGGAAUGCUUAAUAAUAAUAAAAUAUAUAUUGUAUCAGUUAAUUCUGUUCCAUUAGAUUGGUUGGUUAUAAUUGUGACAAGACGAAAUGUUAUGGGAAACCAGUACUUUCCAUCGAUCUGGAUGAACAGAGAUUACUUUUGUAAGUAUGCAAAAUGGAUUGAGUCAGGCUGUUAUUUAUGCUGUGAGAGCAAAGAGAUUGUUUUUGAAAGGCUGUUAAAAAUACUUAGCUCAUGUGGUGUUAAAUGAUGUUGUUUGGAGUAGUGUGAAUAAUGUCGAAAGAGUUAGACUUUUCUUGAUGUCUUCCUUGAAAGUAUACCUGGAUUGCCUUCAGGCAGAGAUAUGAGGUUCAUUAUUGAUUUGUUGCCAGGUAUAAAUCUAUAUUGGAGAUUGGUUCAGGAUGAGUUAAGGGAAUUGGAAAUUCAGUUGAAAGAAUUGGUUGAUAAAAGUUUCAUUCAACCUAGUACAACACUUUUGAGGAGCCCCAGUUUGUUGGUGAGGAAGAAAAUGGAUCUUGAGACUGUUCAUUGAUUAUAGACAAUGGAGUCGGGUAACGAUUGAGAACCGUUAUCCAUGGUGAUGUACUGAUGUUUAUUUAACCAGCUCAGAAGUAAUUGCGAAGAUUCAAAGAUUGAAUUGAGGUCUGGUUAUUACCAAUUAAAGAUUAUGAGCGACGUUGUUCUUAAGAUUGUUUUAUGAACUAUGGUGAUGCUAUAUGGAUACUCAUGCUGUUUUAUGAGUUAUUGGAUGAAGUAUUCCAAUAAUGCCUUGAUAAAUAGAUAUCAUUUUCAUUGAAGAUAUUCUGGCAUAUUCUGAGCCAGAGCAGAGCAUGUAAACGUAUUAAGUCGGUGGAAUAAAGAUUGGAAGAAUGUCGGUUGUAUGCUAAGUAGCAAAUGCUAAAGUUAGAUGAAUCAGGUGGCAUUCCGAGAUUUGUUAUAUAUUCUUAAGGUAUUCAAGUGAAUCCUUAAAAGAUAGCAGAAAUUGAGGAAUUGGAACAACCACGAACUGUAAUUGAGAUUCGGAAUUUCUUAGCUUACCAGGCUAUCUUGGAUGGUUGUGAAAGAUUUUUCAGUCAUUGCUUUGUCAUUGACGAGACUGUUGAGAAAGAGGUUAUGUAUGAGUGGGAAGGAAAUUGUGAGCAAAGGAUUCAACAACUGAAGUAUUUCCUCACUCAUGCACGUAUUUUGGUAUUCCCAAAGAAUAGUGGUAAUCAUAAAUUUUUAGUGAUGUUUCUUGAAUGGUAUUGGAUGCAUGUUGAUGCAAAUGUUAGGGUGAUUGCAUAUGUUUCACGAUAAAUGGAAUCUCAUAAGAUGAAUUACCCUACGGGUGACUUGGAAGUCAUGAUUACCAUUCUUGCUGUGAAGUUAUGAAGGCAUUAUAUUUGGUAAGAAUGCAAGAUUUUUACGAAUCCAAAAAGUCUUCAAUAUCCAUUACUUGGAAGGAUUUUGAUAUGAGGCAGCGAAAGUGAAUUGUAUUGCUUAAUGAACAUGAUUGUACGAUCAGGGUGAUCGUAAAGUUUGUUCUAGCUCAAGCACUUGGUGAGAAGACUACAGUAAGAUUAAUGUCUGGCACGUUUGCCAAGAGUAUCAUCUUGUGGAUUGAAAACCAACGGAAGAAAAAUUAAGAAUGGAAGAUCGAGAAGAAGUUAUACUUGUUAAGUAACAAGUUAGUACAUUUACUCCAGUGUUGAGUAACAACCUUUCCCAGACAGUGCAACAUUACUUAUUUGUUUUAUGGAAAAGAGAAUUGGUUUACGGAACUGCUGAGUUUCUUAAGUAUGUUGGUUGUGCAGUUUCCGAAGUAACGCCAUAAGGAUCAUGAAAUGUGUCAUGUGAGUCGGUUUUUGAUGACUUGUGAAUGGAAUGUUUCUGGGUAGAGAAGGAUUCGAUCAAGAAAGAGUUUUAGUAGACCCUGAGACUAUGGAUGAGUUUCCUCAAAGUAUUCAGGUGAUUAAGUUAACCUGAAAUAACCAGGAAUGGCAAAAGAGAUCAACAAAUGGAUAUGCCACUAAUCGAGUGUGUAAGGUAAAUGGUUUGAUAUUUUUGGAAAAUUCACCGCGAACAGAAAUGACGAGAAUUGGAAAAGAGACAAGAUAAGAUUUAGACACAUCAGACCAUUUUUUUUUCACUAAAGGAAUCAAUAAAGUUGCAUACAAGUUUGUGAUGCCUUCAGAAUUGGCUAAGGCACAUAAUGUAUUUUGUGUGCGAUGCGUUGUCACUAAGUGGCAGAGUCGUUACAUGGGACUUUGGUGCAACUAUUGAGAAUUAAGCCGGAUCUGAUUGGUGAGGAACUAAUGUCGACUUUGGAUUGGAAAAAGAAGGUCCUAAGAAUUAAGACAGAGUAAGUAGUAAAAGCUUUGUGAAGGAAAUCAUUCAGUAGAAAAUUACAUGGGAGACAGAAGAACGGAUGAGAGUUAUGUAUCCGAGACUAUUUUAUGAGUUUUGAUGUUCUGGUUGGUGAUUGGAAUUUCGGGGACGAAAUUCUAUAAGGAGGGGAGAUUGUCACAGCCCGUCCCGGAAUUAUUAAUUCCGAGGACGUGAGAUGACCAAUGUGACCUUAAACGGGAUUAAGGUGUGUAAAUGUAUGACAUUUGUUUUACUUUAAGAUCCUAAACUAGGGUUAGAUUUAUAUUUGUAUGUGUUAAUUUGUGCUUGGACUUAGGUAGGGCCUCCUACCCUGAAUUCCCUCCCUAAAACCCGUAACCUUUCUUCUCUCUUCUUCUUUCAUUCCAGACUCUCUCUCUCUUAUUCUUUUCUGAAAACUCUCUCAUUCUCUCUCUUACUCUCGAACUCACGGCAACCACCAAGAACCACCACAAUCUUGUACCAACGUUCCAUUUAAGACCACCAUCGUGAUCCUGGGGACUUCACGAGCACGGGGAUACCAAUUUCAGGUGAGUUUCACUUCGAAAACCCUAGUUCUAAAGUUGCCGUGAGAUGACACUGUUCAUGAGCUUUGAAUUGGUUACGUUUUAGGCUAAAACAAGAUCACAGCGAGUUUAGUAAGGUCCCAAGGAAGCUCGAAGUGCUUAGUUGGAAGUUUUUGGACGUAAGAACACGGAGAUCGACAAGUUCAAAGUUUGGCCGGAGCUUUCGAGGCGUUUUCCGGUGAAUCCCCGGCGAGUUAGGAGUCGAGGUAGGUAUCAAUCUCUUCGUCUCGUCAAGUACUACAACUUUCCUUUUUGUUUCACUCAAUUUCGUUGAGUAUUGAAGAAGUUAUACCCAUUUGAAAAAUACCCAGUUUCCGGCGACCUCCGAGGCUUUCGAGGCAGUUUCCGGCCAAACCACGGCGAACUAGGUGUUGUGCAAGGUACCAUUCUCUUUGUCUCUUCAAGGGCUACAACUUUCGUUUUUGAAUCACUUGAUUUCGUUGAGAAAUGACAAAGUUAUGGCAAUUUGAAAAACUGCCCGGAAAACGGCCGCCGGAAAAACCAGUCCGGCGACCCAAGGAAGAAGAAGGUGCUACAGUAAAAAUAAAAAAUAAAAAUAAAAUUAUUUUAAAAAUAUGUCGACGUUCGUGACGUCGAGUAGAUCACUGUGGUAUAUUCAUAUACCUAAAUUGAACACCGUAUGAGAAAGUUAUUGAGGAUUGUUGGUUAGGUGUUCAAAUAACGUUUUAUAAUUUUCACAUUUAGGUGAAAAUGUGAAUUGACGAUCCGACCGUUGGAUCGUCACCAAACUUUGAUACGUUGCAAUACGUAAUAUUUGAGGAUUAUUGGAACUUACAGAUUGGGAAUCCGAUUUGCGGAUCUUCCGGAAUUGGAAUUGUA